This 73-nucleotide transfer RNA is filed under the name Capra hircus (goat). It matches the Rfam family "tRNA". From Rfam's summary of the family: Transfer RNA (tRNA) molecules are approximately 80 nucleotides in length. Lineage: Eukaryota; Metazoa; Chordata; Mammalia; Artiodactyla; Bovidae. RNAcentral also lists the same sequence under 1 other name. The record is from Rfam by way of RNAcentral.
UUCCUGGUGGUCCAGUGGUUAAGACUCCACACUUCCAAUGCAGAUGGUAUGGGUUCAACCCCUGGUCAGGAAA